CCUACGGGAGACAGCAGUGAGGAAUAUUGGUCAAUGGCCGGAAGGCUGAACCAGCCAAGCCGCGUGAAGGACGAAGGUGCCAAGCAUUGUAAACUUCUUUUGUCAGGGGACAAACUCAGGCACGAGUGCCUGAUCGAGGGUACCUGAAGAAAAAGCAUCGGCUAACUCCGUGCCAGCAGCCGCGGUAAUACGGAGGAUGCGAGCGUUAUCCGGAUUUAUUGGGUUUAAAGGGUGCGUAGGCGGACUGUUAAGUCAGCGGUAAAAGCCCGGGGCUCAACCCCGGCGAGCCGUUGAAACUGGGUGUCUUGAGAGGGCGAGAGGUAUGCGGAAUGCGCGGUGUAGCGGUGAAAUGCUUAGAUAUCACGCAGAACUCCGAUUGCGAAGGCAGCAUACCGGCGGCGAUCUGACGCUGAGGCACGAAAGCGUGGGUAUCGAACAGGAUUAGAUACCCGUGUAGUC
RNAcentral lists this ribosomal RNA (459 nucleotides) under uncultured bacterium. RNAcentral's name for it is "partial 16S ribosomal RNA". It matches the Rfam family "Bacterial small subunit ribosomal RNA", at positions 338 to 795 of the family's 1533-position model. The record is from RNAcentral.